CUGGAUUUAGGGAUCUCUCCAAGGCUCCUAAGAGAACAUCACAGAGAAGAUGUUAAGUCUGUCAUUUGUGUAGGCACUUAACUUCUACCAGAGUAUUUGUGGUGCUGGAGGACACAGGAAAACAGGGAAACCAAAGAGGAGAAGGCAUAAUUUUUACAGAAGACAGGAUAUUUUGAGUGAAGAAGUGUGGUAAGUUGGAUAUGACUUAUUCUGUGGUGAUAUGGAAGAUGAACCAGUUGGAUUCUCUGUAGGAGGCAAAACAGGUAAAGCAAAUACCCUUUGGGUACCGAGGUGAUGUGUUAUUUAAUCCAGCAGUUUAAGAAUGGCAAGUGCAGGAUAGGCGAAACUUAAAACUGGCAGGGAUGCACUUCCAAGAGAGGACAUCCUAACCACUUGUGGGAGAAGAUGAUGAUAAACUUGUAGACAUCUAAGAAGUCCCCUAUUCCAGAAUUGCUAACACCUUAUCUGGCAUCUUGUGGGUUCCUUGACCAGAAAGGAAGUUUCUCCCAAGUACUACCCUAAGGCUGUCAAAUAUUCAUUUUCCAGUAUUCUUGGAGGCAGUGUUGCAUGAGUGAUAGAGCACUGUUCAGGUGUUCAUGAAUGUCACGUUAAAGUAAUAAUAAGUUGUCAACCCAGUAGACUACAGUCUACUAUGAAGUCAUGCAAGAAGUUGUGGGCAAUGUAUAUGUGUGGCACGAUUGUAUAUUAGAGGGCUAUUCCACAAGUGAACUCGUAGAUUAGGCACCUCAGAAGUCAGAAGACCUAUGGCUAUAUGGAGGUCAAGAAUAGGCAGGAACAAGAAAUAGUUACAGUCUCAUUUCAUUGAAAUCUCACACUUAUUCUGGAAGUAGGCCUCAUUUUUCUUAAGCACCUGUGUGACUCUAUAAUGGCUGAGAAGAGCCUGAUAAAUUGAAUUUUAGGUUGAUGAGCUCAAGAAGGCAUAGGCUGGGACAUGGGCUCUGAGGCACAGGCCUUUUUUCUUUUUCCCUAUAGUUGUAUCUAUGAUUGGCACAUAACGCUUUAGAUCUGGGAAGUUCCGAAACUGAAGUAAAGUUGGUCAGGUUGUGGGCCUCCAACUGGUAAGACUUAUAAUCAUGAAGUAGCUUGGGUAGCAGGUGGCAGUACCAACCAUUCAACAGAUUACUCCUUGGGCAUUAUGGUUGGGAUGGUUUCCUGGCUCUCUGACUGCUUCACCCCUAAGUGAGUGUGUAGUUGCAGUGUUGGCCUGCAUUAGUGUAACCUUGAGUUACAGUGGGGAAGCAGCCAUGCCUCUUGACUAAGACUUGGUCUAUAAAGCUGAUGUCUGACAAUCUAUAAUUGCCUCCUAGAGGCAGCCCCCCCAUCCAUAGUUCUACCAGAUGGAGAACAAUUGUUCUUGCUGGUAAGGUCUGGGAUGCUGUAAACCUUGAUGGGUCCUUGCCCUCAUCUUUUGCCAGAAUGAGUAAUAUCAGUGGAUCUGAAAAGGUGUGGACCUACUGGCAGUCAUGUGUCUAUUGUUGCUGAGAAAGUUACCUAGUUCAGAGAGCCUGGGGGGAGCUAGGGCACAGGUCGAGGUACCCAAGAGUACAAGUUAGGGGCUUCAGUUCUAGAACAAAGCCUUGGAGCCCCUUGCAAAACUAACACAGUAUGACAUAUGUCAUUUCAGCACAACACAGCUGGCCCUGCCCCUUCUUGUAGGAGCUUUGGAUAGGACUGGUUAACUUCUAUCAAUAGGAACACACUAAAUUUGGAGGUUAACAUUGCUGGAAGGGCCAGAACAGUAACAACCAAGUUAAUUAAGGUUAAUUAGUGGGGAUUUUAACCUUUCAAGAAGAGGGUCUUAUUCUUUUUUGAGAUAGAGGGUAGGAGAAGCCCAGCCUCAGCUGCUUUCUUCUAUCAUCAAGAACUACUUUGAGCUGAGAGGAAGGGACUAACCAGUGUUGGCCUGCAUUAGUGUAACCUUAGAGGUGAAACUGACUUAUUUUUUAGGUAGUCUUGGGUUACCCAGUAUAGAUCCUCUGAAUUAAGGGGAACCAUCUAAUGGAAUAGUUGACCAUAUGUAAAAUACCUUGCCUAAGAUUAUAUCACAUUAAUCAGUUUCUACUUAAAUUUCCAUGAUGAGUAAAGGGGAUUGGGAAGAGGUACACACCAAGAGGAUCUUCCUAUGGCCUUGACAACUACAAAUAAUACACUCUCUACUGUGCCUCUUCUCAUGAAUAGCUAUUGGGAGCUUCAGCCUUACUUGGAUCUUCAUCAAAGUAAGGUGAGACUAUAGUGUAGAAGUUCCAUCCUGGGCUAUGAACUGUAUUUCACUCCCAUUUGGUUUAUGACACGGUUUACUCACCAUAGAUUUUCAAGUCCACAGCUCCUCACUUAAGAACAGGAUGGUAUGAGAUGUCAGGAUGUUUCAGGAAACCAAAUGUAUGAUCUGCAAGAAGAAAAUAACUCCAAGGAGAGAUGAGCUCUGCCUUCAAUUCAUUAAGGAAUUUUGGAUGAAACAUCUGCAGAGGGCCUGGAAGACUCACUGGUAAGAACUUGGAGCAGAGAUCAGCAAAGUCAAGAACUUUCUGACUACUACAAGGAGCAGAAGUGAAAAUGGAACUUGAUAUGACUGAUAAAACAUCAGAGGAUCUUGUCUAUAGGUAAAUAGCUUUCAUUUCUAUAAGAUAAUCAAAUCAAGUCUGUCUGCUGCUCAUCAAUGAAGGUGGGAGUGAGAUUCAAGAGGAAAUAAGUGCUAGAGACAAGGACUCGUAAUUCUGAA
Molecule: long non-coding RNA, 2740 nt
Organism: Balaenoptera acutorostrata (minke whale)
Lineage: Eukaryota; Metazoa; Chordata; Mammalia; Artiodactyla; Balaenopteridae
Exons: 3
Source: RefSeq, a predicted model, not a curated record